This is a long non-coding RNA of Xiphophorus maculatus (southern platyfish), 922 nucleotides long. RefSeq lists it as uncharacterized. Lineage: Eukaryota; Metazoa; Chordata; Actinopteri; Cyprinodontiformes; Poeciliidae. The record is from RefSeq and is a predicted model, not a curated record. The transcript is spliced from 3 exons.
UAAAUGUGUCACUAGUUAUGAAUGAGUUGACAACCGCCCAUAGACAGAUUACUGAACGGAUAAGGGAGGGAGGCGGAAAGUUACCACAAGAGAGGAUUAAACCUGUCGACAACAAACAAAGGUUUAAGAACUUCUGAAUUUUCAGUCAGAAAUGAUCACAACGCCUGGUUGAAGUACCAGUCUCCAUGUGCAAGUCAACAAAGCAGAGAGGAAACACCUGAUUGACAAGGUAUGAGUCUCAAGCUCAACCUGUGACUGGGAAAACCAUAUCCAUGAUGCACACCAUCCUGAGCAAAGUCUGAACUCAAUGACUUGUUGCUCUCAACCUAGAGCGAGAGUCCUUUUAUCACCAUUUAUCCUUUUAUCACCGGUUACCCCUUAUAUGGACACAAGCUGGGGUUUUUUUCAGAUCUUAGUAAUACCAUGAGGAAACUGGACAGGAAACAGAAUUGGUUCUUUUUUUAACAGAAUUUUUAAAUAGAAAUUGUUUCUUUAAGUGGAUUACUCGUAAUCUGUAUUUUUGUUUCAUUUGGACUUAUUUUCUUUAUAACUUUCCAUAUUGAAAUGCGGACAAAUUACACUUCUUUGUGAGUUGUACUGUAAUUUUUAUGGUAAAAUUCUGGUAACAACAGCUACCGGUAAUUUAUCAUAAAGUUUUUAUUUUCAAAUUUUUUACAAUAAAAUGUCAAUAUAUCAUACAGUCCUGCCGUGUUUUUCACUUACGUAGACUAACCUAUAUGGUAUAUGUGUUUUUAUAGUAAGUUGCAUAGAAAAGUUUAAGUUCUGAACUGCUAAGUCACGGUUGCCAAGAUAUUAUGCCUCAUGCAGUAUGACCGUAUUUACUAUGGAAAAACCACAUUUUCAUUUUCACUUUAUUUUACCAUAUAUUGGGAAAUACACUAAAAUACCGGCAGCUGCAGUU